This is a long non-coding RNA of Beta vulgaris subsp. vulgaris (sugar beet), 2141 nucleotides long. RefSeq lists it as uncharacterized. Lineage: Eukaryota; Viridiplantae; Streptophyta; Magnoliopsida; Caryophyllales; Amaranthaceae. The record is from RefSeq and is a predicted model, not a curated record. The transcript is spliced from 16 exons.
UUCUCUCACUCACUCACUCACCGUCACUCUCUCUCUCAUCUUCUCCAUCUUCCAUCUUCUAGAUGUAGAAAAAUUAGGGUUUUGGCUAUGGCUAUGGCUGUCACAAAAGCUUGCAAUUUCUUCACUGUUACGACGACUCGGAGCGAUCUUCUCCUCUUCUUCACUUCGUCUCUCUCCUCUCUCAUCUUUUUCACGUCGUCUCUCUCCUCUCUCAUCUUCUUCACGAUUCUGCUAAUUCUUUCGUUAAUGUUAUAUUGAUUUCUUUGAUGAUUUUUUCGGGUUAAUUCAUUCUGAAAUUGAGUAAUUUUAUGGUUAUUAAGGUUUCGUUUUUGAUUUUUUUGCAGAGAAUUGUGUAAUUUGGGAGAUGAACAAAGAUCGACCAUUUGAUCCUCUCGAUUUCUUCAUCUGAACUGUGGAGAGAAUUGUGUAGUUUGGGAGAUGAACAAAGAUCGACCAUUUGAUCCUCUCGAUUUCUUCAUCUGAACUGUUGAGGAUUUUGUAGAUUUGUAGCAACUCCAAUCCUUCUGUUCCAAGGAUGCUACAUUGAGUUGGUGUAGGUGGGAUUUCAUUAACAACAGCAACAUUUCAUUAACAACAGCAACAUUAGAGACAAUUUUAGAUGUUGAUAUUCGGUAGCUUCUCUCAAUCGUUCUUGGCUUGUAUAUUUUCUGCAAUUUCAAAAUGUGCCAAAAAUUAGUGGGUCUCACAAAUUAUGUGUUGCAAGCUCUCUCUAAGCAAGAGGUCAGAACUGGAUCUCAUUCAUGAAUCAUGGCCUGAGAUUAAAGAAAGCAUAAGCGAAUGAGGCAUCCAUGGAACAGUAUACUUCUCAACAUGUUGAUAACAACGCGGCCACGAAGCUUGCUGCUGCUGUUGCUGCAAGGAAAGGUUGUGUUUUUCACAAACUCCGGAACGGAAGCAAAUGAGUUAGCCUUAAUGAUGGCAAGGUUAUACACUGGGUGCCAGGAUGUUAUCUCUAUAAGGAAUGCUUAGCAUGGAAAUGCUGCUGGAACUAUGGGUGCAACUGCUCUGCUCAGUGCAAUUGGAAGUUUGAUGUUACUCAGAACGGGGUACAUCAUGCCAUGAAUCCUGACCCUUAUAGAGGUAUGUUUGGAGCAUAUGGAGAGAUGUAUGCAAAAGUUGUUCAGGAUAUUAUCCAAUUUGGAACAUCUGGUCAUGUUGCUGGAUUCAUCUGUGAAGCCAUUCAGGAAGUUGGAGGAAUCAUAGAAUUGGCCCCUGGAUAUCUUUCUUCUGUGUAUGAUUUUGUAAAGAAAGCUGGAGGGCUUUUCAUAGCUGAUGAAGUUCAAGCUGGAUUUGCUCGCACUGGAAGCCACUUUGGGGUUUUGAGGCUCAUGGAGUUGUCCCUGAUAUUGUGACCAUGGCAAAGAUUGGGUGUCUUGGAAUUAGCUAGCGUCCCUAUCUGCGGAUGGAUCUUGAAGGAGGGGGAAUUCAGCUACUUCUUGAGCAAACUCUCCAAAUUGUUCAAUCAAUUAUCCAUGCUUCGGAGAUUGAUGCCACUAUUUCCCAGUGGCCAUAUUGGUGGCCAGACGGCCUUAGUGCGGGGAGGAUGUUGUGGUAUCUAUGGAGCGAAUUGUGCUGACUGGAUCAUGAGCAUGGAGAGCAUUUUUAUAGGCCUGCAAUGCCGAUGGACUCUUAUUGUGUUCCUUUGUAUGACACUUUAGGUGCUGGUGCUGUAGAAUUUAUCAUUUUCCAUGCAGAAGUUUCAAUUGCAUUCGUAGAAGAAAAAAAGAUUCCUGAGUUGCUUAAAGCUUUGCAAAACACAUUGAAAUACUUGAAAACUGUGGUUAGUUUUGGGAAUAUCACACAUGAGCAUAAAGAAGUUGUUGAAAAACUUGGCAUGCAGAUGUAUAGUUGGGAUGACUUUUUGCAAUUGGUAGGUAGGCAUAUUUUGAUGCUGGAGAAUGUUUUAAUCUUUUGUCUACGGACUUAUCUGGUUUUAUGUAGCCUUAAGUAAAUGUUGCUCCUUAUGUUUUUCUCAAUAGCUUAUAUAUUGAUAAGCAUUUGGAGCUUUGUUCAGAAAGUUUAAUACCCAUUAUGCAGUUCCAGAGUGCAAUGUGUAAAGUUGUCUUUUGUAUCUACAUAGUUAUUAAACAAUAAGUAUAAUGAUGUUUUUUUAUUGGCAA